CAAGUCGAGCGUAGAGAGAAGCUUGCUCUCUUGAGAGCGGCGGACGGUGAGUAAUGCCUAGGAUCUGCCUGGUAGUGGGGGAUAACGUUCGGAAACGGACGCUAAUACCGCAUACGUCUACGGGAGAAAGCAGGGACUUCGGGCCUUGCGCUAUCAGAUGAGCCUAGGUCGGAUUAGCUAGUUGGUGAGGUAAUGGCUCACCAAGGCGACGAUCCGUAACUGGUCUGAGAGGAUGAUCAUCACACUGGAACUGAGACACGGUCCAGACUCCUACGGGAGGCAGCAGUGGGGAAUAUUGGACAAUGGGCGAAGCCUGAUCCAGCCAUGCCGCGUGUGUGAAGAAGUCUUCGGAUUGUAAAGCACUUUAAGUUGGGAGGAAGGGUUGUAGAUUAAUACUCUGCAAUUUUGACGUUACCGACAGAAUAAGCACCGGCUAACUCUGUGCCAGCAGCCGCGGUAAUACAGAGGGUGCAAGCGUUAAUCGGAAUUACUGGGCGUAAAGCGCGCGUAGGUGGUUUGUUAAGUUGGAUGUGAAUCCCCGGGCUCAACCUGGAACUGCAUCAAAACUGACUGAUAGAGU
RNAcentral lists this ribosomal RNA (580 nucleotides) under obligately oligotrophic bacterium POC-112. RNAcentral's name for it is "bacterial SSU rRNA". It matches the Rfam family "Bacterial small subunit ribosomal RNA", at positions 58 to 647 of the family's 1533-position model. The record is from RNAcentral. Lineage: Bacteria; Pseudomonadati; Pseudomonadota; Gammaproteobacteria.